Molecule: long non-coding RNA, 744 nt
Filed under: Homo sapiens (human)
Lineage: Eukaryota; Metazoa; Chordata; Mammalia; Primates; Hominidae
Description: HSALNT0291323
Source: RNAcentral
CUAAGUUCUGCCAGCCUAGUGAGCUACACAUCUCUUGUCUUCCAGGAGGUUAACCCGAGCUUGUAUGCAUGGCUGUGCAGGAUUUCAAGGAUCUGGACAUGUCCUGCAAAUUGUGGUGACAGACACCUCUCUGCCUUCCUCUGGUCACCACUGCUGGAAUGAAUAGAGUUGAGCUGUGUGCAGCAGGAUGCCUCCAGAGACGUGCAAGCCAGACAUGAGGUGAGGGCAGGAUUCACUCGUUCUCAGGAAACUUGUCCCACAAUUAAACAGCAAGAGUGCCAAUAGGUGGGAGGAUUCCGACUUCUUCAGGUGAACAGCUUGCCUCGUCUUGGCUUGGGCACACUUUAGAGGAACAAUUGUUUUGUAGAGGGGUGGCCGUUCUGGAAACCAAGUCUAAUGGCUGGUGUGGAUGUGGAGAGUCAGGAAUCAGCCAUUGCUUCAGGGACUGUGGAAGAGGGUCCAAGAUCUCUGUGGAGUCUGAAGAGUGUGCAGGUGAACUGCAGACAACGCCAGAACUGUGCAUCCCUCUUCCUUUCCUCCCCCUACAUUUUACCUCCCUAGAGCAUUUCCACACCUACUGAUGCCUUGCACCAUGGAGAUUAAAUCUACAGACACUGGAGUCAGACAGGCUGGGUGUGCCUUCAGCCACUGCCCCUUUCUAAUGAAGUGAGCUUAGGUGAAUUAUCUCACCUCUCUGAACCUCAGUGUUGUCUUAAAAAACAUGGAUAUAAUUGUAAUCAUGUC